AGGGUCGAAAGACGGACUUAGUGAUCCGGUGGUUCCGCAUGGAAGGGCCAUCGCUCAACGGAUAAAAGCUACCCCGGGGAUAACAGGCUUAUCUCCCCCAAGAGUUCACAUCGACGGGGAGGUUUGGCACCUCGAUGUCGGCUCAUCGCAUCCUGGGGCUGUAGUCGGUCCCAAGGGUUGGGCUGUUCGCCCAUUAAAGCGGUACGCGAGCUGGGUUCAGAACGUCGUGAGACAGUUCGGUCCCUAUCCGUCGUGGGCGUAGGAAAUUUGAGAGGAGCUGUCCUUAGUACGAGAGGACCGGGAUGGACAUACCUCUGGUGUACCAGUUGUCGUGCCAACGGCAUAGCUGGGUAGCUAUGUGUGGACGGGAUAAGUGCUGAAAGCAUCUAAGCAUGAAGCCCCCCUCAAGAUGAGAUUUCCCAACUUCGGUUAUAAGAUCCCUCAAAGAUGAUGAGGUUAAUAGGUUCGAGGUGGAAGCAUGGUGACAUGUGGAGCUGACGAAUACUAAUCGAUCGAAGACUUAAUCAA
Molecule: ribosomal RNA, 528 nt
Filed under: Staphylococcus aureus
Lineage: Bacteria; Bacillati; Bacillota; Bacilli; Caryophanales; Staphylococcaceae
Description: partial 23S ribosomal RNA
Rfam family: Bacterial large subunit ribosomal RNA
Source: RNAcentral